RNAcentral lists this ribosomal RNA (447 nucleotides) under uncultured bacterium. RNAcentral's name for it is "partial 16S ribosomal RNA". It matches the Rfam family "Bacterial small subunit ribosomal RNA", at positions 330 to 793 of the family's 1533-position model. The record is from RNAcentral.
UCCAGACUCCUACGGGAGGCAGCAGUGGGGGAUAUUGCACAAUGGGGGGAACCCUGAUGCAGCGACGCCGCGUGGGUGAAGGAGCGUUUCGGCGCGUAAAGCCCUCUCGGCAGGGAAGAAGGAGGACGGUACCUGACUAAGAAGCCCCGGCUAACUACGUGCCAGCAGCCGCGGUAAUACGUAGGGGGCAAGCGUUAUCCGGAUUUACUGGGUGUAAAGGGGGCGCAGACGGCAGCGCAAGCCAGGAGUGAAAGCCCGGGGCCCAACCCCGGGACUGCUCUUGGAACUGCGCGGCUGGAGUGCAGGAGGGGCGGGCGGAAUUCUUGGUGUAGCGGUGAAAUGCGUAGAUAUCAGGAGGAACACCGGCGGCGAAGGCGGCCUGCUGGACCGUGACUGACGUUGAGGCUCGAGAGCGUGGGGAGCAAACAGGAUUAGAUACCCGGGUAC